CUACCUAUUUCUCUGAAUGUCAAAUUAAAGAAAUUCAGUGAAGCACUGGCAAACGAUGAGAGUAAUUAUGACUCCCUUAAGGCAUUUAAUUAGUGACAUGCGUGAAUG
Molecule: non-coding RNA, 108 nt
Filed under: Pteropus alecto (black flying fox)
Lineage: Eukaryota; Metazoa; Chordata; Mammalia; Chiroptera; Pteropodidae
Also listed under: 1 other name
Description: Eukaryotic large subunit ribosomal RNA
Rfam family: Eukaryotic large subunit ribosomal RNA
Source: Rfam by way of RNAcentral